AUGCCACGACGGGCUUUGCACUACCGACGGAAGGGAGACACGAUGUCUUGGGAUAAUCUGCCAAUGUCAUCUAACAAUGAAUCUAUGACAAGUCAGCCACCUACGACCAUGGAGUGCACGAAAUGGAGCACCCUAGCUCUGAAUCAUGUUGCUCAUUGUGAGCAUCGAGCCCCGUGUGAAGAGUUGGUGGCAUUUGAAUCCACUGAUAGCGGCAGGAGGUUUCUAGGCUGUGCAAAAAAGGAUGGACCCAAGUGCAACUAUGUGGAGUGGAUUGACCCUGAGUGGCCAAUCCCAUUGAAGCAAUAA
Molecule: ribosomal RNA, 306 nt
Filed under: Triticum aestivum (bread wheat)
Lineage: Eukaryota; Viridiplantae; Streptophyta; Magnoliopsida; Poales; Poaceae
Description: partial small subunit ribosomal RNA
Source: RNAcentral